This 744-nucleotide ribosomal RNA is filed under the name bacterium enrichment culture clone WG_143. RNAcentral describes it as "bacterial SSU rRNA". It matches the Rfam family "Bacterial small subunit ribosomal RNA", at positions 64 to 810 of the family's 1533-position model. The record is from RNAcentral.
GAGCGAGAAUCGCAGAAGGAAGCUUCGGUAGAAUUCUGUGAUGGAAAGCGGCGGACGGGUGAGUAACGCGUGGGAAACCUGCCCUUGACAGGGGGACAGCCGAGGGAAACUUCGAUUAAUACCCCAUAACGCAGAGAGACCGCAUGGUCAUUCUGCCAAAGAAUUAUCGGUCAGGGAUGGUCCCGCGUCUGAUUAGCUGGUUGGUGAGGCAGCGGCUCACCAAGGCGACGAUCAGUAGCCGGCCUGAGAGGGUGAACGGCCACAUUGGAACUGAGACACGGUCCAGACUCCUACGGGAGGCAGCAGCGGGGAAUAUUGCACAAUGGGCGCAAGCCUGAUGCAGCAACGCCGCGUGAAGGAGGAAGGCCUUCGGGUCGUAAACUUCUGUCCAAAGGGAAGAAGAAUGACGGUACCUUUGGAGGAAGCCCCGGCUAACUACGUGCCAGCAGCCGCGGUAACACGUAGGGGGCGAGCGUUAUCCGGAAUUACUGGGCGUAAAGAGUGCGUAGGUGGCUUUGCAAGCGUAGGGUAUAAGGCGACAGCCCAACUGUCGUUGGCCCCGCGAACUGUAAGGCUUGAGUACAGGAGGGGAAGGCGGAAUUCCUAGUGUAGCGGUGAAAUGCGUAGAUAUUAGGAGGAACACCAGUGGCGAAGGCGGCCUUCUGGACUGUAACUGACACUGAGGCACGAAAGCGUGGGUAGCAAACAGGAUUAGAUACCCUGGUAGUCCACGCCGUAAACGAU